AGGGUUCGAGUUCUGGCGUCAGGAUGAACGCUGGCGGCGUGCCUAACACAUGCAAGUCGAACGAGCGAGAGAUGAAACCUAGUGAUUCUCGAGCGAGUGGCGGACGGGUGAGUAACGCGUGGGUAACCUGCCUUACAGAGGGGGAUAACAGUCUGAAAAGACUGCUAAUACCGCAUAAGCACACAGUACCGCAUGGUACAGGGUGAAAAGAUUUAUCACUGUAAGAUGGACCCGCGUCUGAUUAGCCAGUUGGCAGGGUAACGGCCUACCAAAGCGACGAUCAGUAGCCGACCUGAGAGGGUGAUCGGCCACAUUGGGACUGAGACACGGCCCAAACUCCUACGGGAGGCAGCAGUGGGGGAUAUUGCACAAUGGAGGAAACUCUGAUGCCAGCGACGCCGCGUGAGUGAAGAAGUAUUUCGGUAUGUAAAGCUCUAUCAGCAGGGAAGAUAAUGGCGGUACCUGACCAAGAAGCCCCGGCUAACUACGUGCCAGCCGCCGC
This 502-nucleotide ribosomal RNA is filed under the name uncultured bacterium. RNAcentral describes it as "bacterial SSU rRNA". It matches the Rfam family "Bacterial small subunit ribosomal RNA", at positions 1 to 518 of the family's 1533-position model. The record is from RNAcentral.